RNAcentral lists this ribosomal RNA (1434 nucleotides) under uncultured bacterium. Its description in RNAcentral is "partial 16S ribosomal RNA". It matches the Rfam family "Bacterial small subunit ribosomal RNA". The record is from RNAcentral.
AGCGAACGCUGGCGGCAUGCCUAACACAUGCAAGUCGCACGGUUCGGGGGUUUCGGCUCCCGGGCAGUGGCGGACGGGUGAGGAACGCGUAGGGAUCUAUCCACAGGUGGGGGACAACCGCGGGAAACUGCGGCUAAUACCGCAUGACGAGCAUGCCUUAGCGGGCAUGUUCCAAAGUUUGCAAGAGCGCCUGUGGCGGAGCCUGCGUCCGAUUAGCUUGUUGGUGGGGUAACGGCUUACCAAGGCAACGAUCGGUAGCUGGUCUGAGAGGAUGAUCAGCCACACUGGGACUGAGACACGGUCCAGACUCCUACGGGAGGCAGCAGUGGGGAAUAUUGGACAAUGGGCGCAAGCCUGAUCCAGCAACGCCGCGUGGGUGAAGAAGGUCUUCGGAUUGUAAAGCCCUUUCGGCGGGGACGAUGAUGACGGUACCCGCAGAAGAAGCCCCGGCUAUCUUCGUGCCAGCAGCCGCGGUAAUACGAAGGGGGCUAGCGUUGCUCGGAAUGACUGGGCGUAAAGGGCGCGUAGGCGGAUCGGAUAGUCAGGCGUGAAAUUCCUGGGCUCAACCUGGGGGCUGCGCUUGAUACGUCUGGUCUGGAGUGGGGAAGAGGGUCGUGGAAUUCCCAGUGUAGAGGUGAAAUUCGUAGAUAUUGGGAAGAACACCGGUGGCGAAGGCGGCGACCUGGUCCUUGACUGACGCUGAGGCGCGAAAGCGUGGGGAGCAAACAGGAUUAGAUACCCUGGUAGUCCACGCCGUAAACGAUGUGCGCUGGAUGUUGGGGGGCUUAGCCCUUCAGUGUCGCAGCCAACGCGAUAAGCGCACCGCCCGGGGAGUACGGCCGCAAGGUUGAAACUCAAAUGAAUUGACGGGGGCCCGCACAAGCGGUGGAGCAUGUGGUUUAAUUCGAUGCAACGCGAAGAACCUUACCUGGCCUUGACAUAGUAGAGACUUUCCAGAGAUGGAUUGGUGCCUUCGGGAAUCUACAUACAGGUGCUGCAUGGCUGUCGUCAGCUCGUGUCGUGAGAUGUUGGGUUAAGUCCCGCAACGAGCGCAACCCUUUUCCUUACUUGCCAGCAUUUCGGAUGGGAACUUUAAGGAUACUGCCAGUGACAAACUGGAGGAAGGCGGGGACGACGUCAAGUCAUCAUGGCCCUUACGGCCAGGGCUACACACGUGCUACAAUGGUCGGUACAAAGGGUUGCUACACAGCGAUGUGAUGCUAAUCUCAAAAAGCCGUCGUAGUUCGGAUCGCAGUCUGCAACUCGACUGCGUGAAGUCGGAAUCGCUAGUAAUCGCGGAUCAGAAUGCCGCGGUGAAUACGUUCCCGGGCCUUGUACACACCGCCCGUCACACCAUGGGAGUUUGUUGCACCAGAAGUAGGUAGUCUAACCGCAAGGAGGACGCUUACCACGGUGUGGCCGAUGACUGGGGUG